RNAcentral lists this transfer RNA (81 nucleotides) under Streptococcus sp. Its description in RNAcentral is "tRNA-Tyr". It matches the Rfam family "tRNA". Rfam says of the family: Transfer RNA (tRNA) molecules are approximately 80 nucleotides in length. Their secondary structure includes four short double-helical elements and three loops (D, anti-codon, and T loops). Further hydrogen bonds mediate the characteristic L-shaped molecular structure. tRNAs have two regions of fundamental functional importance: the anti-codon, which is responsible for specific mRNA codon recognition, and the 3' end, to which the tRNAs corresponding amino acid is attached (by aminoacyl-tRNA synthetases). tRNAs cope with the degeneracy of the genetic code in two manners: having more than one tRNA (with a specific anti-codon) for a particular amino acid; and 'wobble' base-pairing, i.e. permitting non-standard base-pairing at the 3rd anti-codon position. Lineage: Bacteria; Bacillati; Bacillota; Bacilli; Lactobacillales; Streptococcaceae. The record is from RNAcentral. RNAcentral also lists the same sequence under 1 other name.
GGAAGGGUAGCGAAGAGGCUAAACGCGGCGGACUGUAAAUCCGUUCCUUCGGGUUCGGGGGUUCGAAUCCCUCCCCUUCCA